UACAGAGGUGGCAAGCGUUGUUCGGAUUUACUGGGCGUAAAGGGCGCGCAGGCGGUCGUUCAAGUCGCGUGUGAAAGCCCCCGGCUCAACUGGGGAGGGUCACGCGAUACUGAUCGACUCGAAGGCAGGAGAGGGUAGUGGAAUUCCCGGUGUAGUGGUGAAAUGCGUAGAUAUCGGGAGGAACACCAGUGGCGAAGGCGACUACCUGGCCUGUUUCUUGACGCUGAGGCGCGAAAGCUAGGGGAGCAAACGGG
RNAcentral lists this ribosomal RNA (254 nucleotides) under uncultured bacterium. RNAcentral describes it as "partial 16S ribosomal RNA". It matches the Rfam family "Bacterial small subunit ribosomal RNA", at positions 524 to 776 of the family's 1533-position model. The record is from RNAcentral.